RNAcentral lists this ribosomal RNA (253 nucleotides) under uncultured bacterium. Its description in RNAcentral is "partial 16S ribosomal RNA". It matches the Rfam family "Bacterial small subunit ribosomal RNA", at positions 524 to 776 of the family's 1533-position model. The record is from RNAcentral.
UACGUAGGGUGCAAGCGUUGUCCGGAAUUAUUGGGCGUAAAGAGCUCGUAGGCGGUUUGUCGCGUCUGCUGUGAAAACUCGGGGCUUAACUCCGGGCCUGCAGUGGGUACGGGCAGACUAGAGUGCGGUAGGGGAGACUGGAAUUCCUGGUGUAGCGGUGAAAUGCGCAGAUAUCAGGAGGAACACCGGUGGCGAAGGCGGGUCUCUGGGCCGUAACUGACGCUGAGGAGCGAAAGCAUGGGGAGCGAACAGG